RNAcentral lists this ribosomal RNA (591 nucleotides) under uncultured bacterium. Its description in RNAcentral is "partial 16S ribosomal RNA". It matches the Rfam family "Bacterial small subunit ribosomal RNA", at positions 355 to 939 of the family's 1533-position model. The record is from RNAcentral.
UGGGGAAUCUUCCGCAAUGGACGAAAGUCUGACGGAGCAACGCCGCGUGUAUGAUGAAGGUCUUCGGAUUGUAAAGUACUGUCAUUGGGGAAGAACGGUUUUCUUGAAAAGAUUGAGAAGACAUGACGGUACCCAAGGAGGAAGCCCCGGCUAACUACGUGCCAGCAGCCGCGGUAAUACGUAGGGGGCAAGCGUUGUCCGGAAUUAUUGGGCGUAAAGGGCGCGUAGGCGGGCCUUUAAGUCCGGUGUGAAAGAUCAGGGCUCAACCCUGAGAGUGCAUCGGAAACUGGAGGCCUUGAGGACAGGAGAGGAAAGUGGAAUUCCACGUGUAGCGGUGAAAUGCGUAGAUAUGUGGAGGAACACCAGUGGCGAAGGCGACUUUCUGGACUGUAACUGACGCUGAGGCGCGAAAGCGUGGGGAGCAAACAGGAUUAGAUACCCUGGUAGUCCACGCCGUAAACGAUGAGUGCUAGGUGUAGAGGGUAUCGACCCCUUCUGUGCCGCAGUUAACACAAUAAGCACUCCCGCCUGGGGAGUACGGCCGCAAGGUUGAAACUUAAAUGAAUUGACGGGGGUCAUAGCUGUUUUCCU